This 459-nucleotide ribosomal RNA is filed under the name uncultured bacterium. RNAcentral's name for it is "partial 16S ribosomal RNA". It matches the Rfam family "Bacterial small subunit ribosomal RNA", at positions 338 to 795 of the family's 1533-position model. The record is from RNAcentral.
CCUACGGGUGGCAGCAGUGAGGAAUAUUGGUCAAUGGCCGAGAGGCUGAACCAGCCAAGUCGCGUGAGGGAAGAAUGUCCUAUGGAUUGUAAACCUCUUUUGUCAGGGAGCAAAGUCACCCACGUGUGGGUGUUGGAGAGUACCUGAAGAAAAAGCAUCGGCUAACUCCGUGCCAGCAGCCGCGGUAAUACGGAGGAUGCGAGCGUUAUCCGGAUUUAUUGGGUUUAAAGGGUGCGUAGGCGGGUUAUCAAGUCAGCGGUAAAAUCGUGGAGCUCAACUCCAUCCAGCCGUUGAAACUGAUGAUCUUGAGUGGGUGAGAAGUAUGCGGAAUGCGUGGUGUAGCGGUGAAAUGCAUAGAUAUCACGCAGAACUCCGAUUGCGAAGGCAGGUGUCCGGGGUGCAACUGACGCUGAGGCUCGAAAGUGCGGGUAUCAAACAGGAUUAGAUACCCUUGUAGUC